RNAcentral lists this non-coding RNA (172 nucleotides) under Rheinheimera sp. SA_1. Its description in RNAcentral is "Lysine riboswitch aptamer". It matches the Rfam family "Lysine riboswitch aptamer". Rfam says of the family: Riboswitches are metabolite binding domains within certain messenger RNAs that serve as precision sensors for their corresponding targets. Allosteric rearrangement of mRNA structure is mediated by ligand binding, and this results in modulation of gene expression. Lineage: Bacteria; Pseudomonadati; Pseudomonadota; Gammaproteobacteria; Chromatiales; Chromatiaceae. The record is from Rfam by way of RNAcentral.
UAGACCAGAAGAGGAGCGUUCACCAGGUAGUUCAGCGCAGGUUGCUAUAAACCGGAUACUGAAUGAGGGGGAUGAACGCCGAGGAUGUUACGUCGUAGCAGCGUAACGUCCGGUCAAAAGGGCUGAAUCCCUGCGACUGUCACCUGAAACCCGGUGGAGAGCUUCUGGCCUU